GAAAUACUCCCUCCAUGCGGAAUGACUUGUCAUAAAAAAGAUAAAAAUGGAUGUAUCUAGAGCUAACAUACGUCUAUAUACAUUCAUUUCCGUGACAAGUAAUUCCGGACAGAGGGAGUAUGCA
Molecule: non-coding RNA, 124 nt
Organism: Hordeum vulgare subsp. vulgare (domesticated barley)
Lineage: Eukaryota; Viridiplantae; Streptophyta; Magnoliopsida; Poales; Poaceae
Source: Rfam